Molecule: long non-coding RNA, 6044 nt
Filed under: Marmota monax (woodchuck)
Lineage: Eukaryota; Metazoa; Chordata; Mammalia; Rodentia; Sciuridae
Source: RNAcentral
CUUGAAGAAGUGGAGGAGAGAUCUACACAACUUAAGUGGGGCAUCCCCAUCCCGUCUGCCUGCUCACACUCUUUUGCCCCCAACUUCAUCUAUGCAUCACCCUACCCCCCCAAAAGAAGUCACUCACUGGUUCUGUCUGCAGAGAGCCAGGGUGAGAACGGGCAAGGCGAGAGAGCGACCUCGGUCGUGGGCAAGUAGCUUGUUUUUACGUCCUUCAAUAAAAAUUUUAUGAGGAUCAUUUGAUUGUUCAUAAAUGUGUCUUUCAUUAAAUAAAAUUGUAGGCUGUUUUUGGAAUGGGAAAAAAGCAACAGAGGGAUGGGAGAAAGCAAUUUCUUUGGGGUCGGAUGUAGGAAAUCUGGAGGGGGCAGUGCGAUUGUAGGUGAAUAUCAGAGAACUUGGAUUAACCCCCCAAUAGUUGGUUGCUACCCUCCUUAAAUUUUGGGUUCACUGCACAGCCCUAGGCUUUACAUCAGACUGUCCCAUGGUGGCUUAGUAAGGGGGAGGGCAUUAGGCAAUCAGAAAACCCUCAGUGUGUGUGCAAGAGGGGGUAGGGAGAUUGGGGGCAGGAGAAGGACAGGUGAUUAUCCCUAGAGGUGGUGCACCUAGGCAGGGCAGAGUGAAUUUGAAGGAAGGGUGCAAUUUCAGGGUCAGAGGGAAGAGUCUCAGUGUGCUCAAGGGGAAAUAGGCAGGAGCUGGGGCUGAGAUGCUGGCUCUGAAGGCAGCAGGGAAGGAGGCUUCCCAGAUCCAUCCAUGCUUGCCCUGCUUUCCCUCUUCUAUCCCCAGGAGGGGACCAAAUGCCAGGGGUGGGGGUGAGUGCUGGAUUUCUCAUGUAUCUGGAUUGCUCUAUCUCCUCUGGGGUGAUAGAAGGGCUGGAGAGUGUAUUAGGUGUAUUUGGUGGCGUGGAAAGUUGGGGGGAGGGCACAGCUGCAGCUCCCAGCUCGGACCCCAGCUCCAUAGGUCCUCUCCCCAGUCCCUGCUCCUCCCCCUCUUCAGUUCUUUCCAUUUCGGUCUACCGGGGCUGGGAUUUCAAUGCACAGAGGACAUGAGGGAAAUAAUCUGACUGGGGAGAGGCAACGGGGGUCUGCAGCCUUGUCCCCCUCAGCUCCUACUGUCUUCUCCCUCCAUCUGGAUUGGCUGGGAAACCUAAAUUACAACAAGACAGAAAAUCUCUUUGGCCUUGAUGGAGUCGGGUUAGCUGUCAAUCAAAAAUCUUCCUCACUAGUUCAAGGAAAAGACGGAAGGUUCCAGUCCUUCUGCGGAGGCUUUCUCCAAAUCCCCAGUGCAGUCAGCACCUCCCCCAGCCCUUGGUGACUGGGGACCGGCCUGGCUCUUGGGCGGCUGCUGGCAGCGAUAAGCAGAGACAUUUAGCCUUCAGCGGGGCCCCGGGCCAGACUGCGACCAAGAGGACACCAGGGGACAGAGCCUGAGAGAGACUGAGACCCAGACAGCCUAAAACAGACCAACUGAAACAAGGCGCCAGGCCCAAGAAAGGAAAGAAGGAAACAGAGGAUUAGGAUAAAAAGAAAAGAGGUGGGGGAGAAGAAAGGAAGGAAAGUAAGCUGAAAAGAGAGGAGGGAAAGGAAGGCAUACAGAUAGCUAGCCCAAAGAAGGGCAGUGAUAAGCAGGCAGGCAGGCAGGCAGGACGGGGCAGGGCGAGAGCUGACGGAGCAGCCGUGGCAUUGUGCAGUCCGCUUGCUUGCCGGGCCUUUGCAGUGGGACCGACUCCGGGCGCAGCAGCCACUUCUGUCUGGACACAAAGGAGGAAGAGGCCUCUUCUCCUGCCCCUCCUGGGGGACCAGCUCCGGUGGGUACACUAAGCCUCCGGAAUACAGAAUCCCAUAUUGGCCCAGGCAGCCUCCCAGGCGACUGGAGGCUGAGCCAUGCUCUGGUCAAGGAGCGAAGAAACAGAAGGAGAAAGAGCUUUCAUGCCUGCUCCUCCAUUGCGUUUUCGCCAGGCAACAGGGCCUCUCUGCCCCAACCCCAGCUUUCCUGCAGGAAAGAGUCUUUAAAGAUCCUCUCCUAUGGACUUCUGCUCUUUGGGAGAGCCCCUCAACUGGACAUCGUGGCUAUAAAGAGACGCCCCCUUCUUUCCUAUCCCCUUUGAACACAGACUUCUUUUCAACUCUUGAGCUGCCUGAGCACUGGCCUGCCUACCCUGCGGAGUCUGCAGCAGUCAGGCGUCAGGAUCACCAUCCAGGGAUCUUUGCUGCCCAUUAAAUCCCCCAGGAAACCAAGGGGGAUUGUUGCCUUGCCUUUGCUUUUGGGAGCAGGAACUCCAACCCUCCCCACUAAGUCACAGGCACAGCUGUGGAUCAGGAAGCAGGCCUUGCCCACAGCGCCCUCCUGGCCAAUGUCCCAUUUUCCCUAUGCCUCUCAGAGAGAGGCAGCCGUGGGGAGGCCUUGGAGAGCCUGGGAGUCUUGAAGUCCAGUAGGCCCAAGUAAGACAGGUUCCACAACUACAUUGUGAGUUGCAACCCCUUUUUGCCACAUUUGGAGACAGGAUGGCAGGUCAGGGCUUUCAAGCAGGCUUUUAGACUUCCCCUAAACCCAGGCUUAUAGGUGUGGGGGGCACAAGGAUAUGGGGGCACCAAGAAGGAAGGGGUUAUCUUACUGGGGUUCAGUUACUCCUGCUGAAUCUUCCACCAUAUUUCAAGGUUCCCUCUCACCCACACCACUCCCUUCAAUUUUCCUUAGCACUGCUGGGACAAUUUGAGAGACUUGGGGGCAGCUGAGAGUCCCUGUUGGUGUGUGCAGAGGGGACCCAGUUAUAGCUAGCAGUUCUGUGAAUUCACUUAGAUUGCUUAACAUUCUUCUCCCCCCCCCCCACAAAGAUUUCACUGGGCACAGGAGAGUUCCUUAAGGGGGAGGGGCAUGCUUACUCUAUCACCUCAAACCUGGGCAGCUGAGACCACAAUCAAGCUAGCACCGUGGGAAGGACAGACAGACAGGUUAGAGUCAUCCCCUCCCCCCUGUCCCGCGUCUCCCUUUCAGUGAUUUAAAUUCCCUCCGGUUCAAUCCACACCGUCAAGUUCGGAUUAAAUUUAAAACAGGCUUUUCCCUAUGCCCCCAAUGGGCCAUCCCAGCCGCGGCAGGCUGGGAGCCCGCUCACCGCUCCUUAGUACCGGCCCUGCGCGGCGAAGGCCUUGCUCCAUUUGCUUUCAUUUUCCUUCUGCCCCUGAAAUGGGCUCAUUUCACCUCUCAGCUGUCCUCUCCCCUCCCCGCCCCCUCCCGGGUUCCCUUCUAUUUUCCCCCCCUUCUUUUCUGAUCCCUCUUUGUUGGGAAAAACACACCCCCACACAACUCCUCCUAGCUAAGGCCUGCCUGCGCUGGAAGCAGAAACUGAGUCCUCUUCGCCUGCCGCGAGGAGACCCGCGUCCUGCCCCCAUCCCAGGUGGGUAUCUCGGAUCCCUGCACACCCGGAGUCAGGCCCCCAAGCCCAGCAGGAGUGAAAUCCCCAGGGCCUGUGAACGUGGCCCUCUCAACGCCACGGCCUGCCGCCCGGCCUGCAUUCCCGCUGACGCCCCCACCCUGCCGCUCCGCAGCAAACGGGGCUAUUUCCGGCUCCCCCAACACGUUCUGGUUUUCCAGCCUGGGGAGUGGCUGGAGGGGGAGCCGCCCCAGAGCUAGGGCUGCCCUCUGCCUGGUGCCCCAGUGGCCCUGAGCGCGUUGUUACCUGAUCUUUUGUGUGAUGUAUGUGUCGCAAAGAAAUUUGCAGUGACUUUGGAGCCCAGACUGAGGAAGCCGAGGUAGCGAAAGGAGAGACAAUACCGGCCCGAAGUACAAUUAAGGGGCUAGAGCCUCUGGUCUCUCCCCCGCCCUCCCUGCCCGACUGGGAGCUGUCUUAGCCUCAAACCUCAGGGCGACUCAACGAACCUGGAGCCAGAAACUCAGCCCAUGGCGGGGAGAGCAAGAAGACUCCGCAUCAAGAAACCAGGGGAAAGCUCCCUUCCAAGUUGGGGGCGCCGUAACCCGCCCUGCUGAGUUGCAGAGAAUCCAAUGAAUGAAAGUGCGCAUUCCGACGACUAAUUUUCCCGAAUUGUCUCAGCCUUUAGAAGGAGAGCCUAGGGUUUGGGACUUCUCAGACAGUCAGACAAACCGCAUCUCCCGAGAUGGACAGACUCACAACAUGAGUGUGAGCCUGAAAUAAUAUACAGGUUCAACAUUCCCCGAGGCCUCCUUGCCAGGCCUGGCGGGCGCCGAUCUCCCUACCUUCUCUCCCGCCAAGGCCUCAGGCAAGAGACCCAGAAGACUCGGUCCCUCUGGCUUGGUCCAAUCCCGCCUCGGGAAGCGCCUUCGUUACCUGCUCCUCGGCUCCCCAUGGCCACAGAUGCAGGGCAGCAGCCUCCCGCCGCCGGGGGAGGAAAGCCCCGGCCACCGCAGCCGUCGCCACCCGCCCUCCUUCCCUCCCUCCCUCCAUCUCGCCCUCCCUCCCUCUCUCCCUCCCUCACGCGCUGCCGCUCGCGGGGCCCUCCCGCGGGCAACCUGCUCUGGACCAAAUCCAGGUAUCUCCGAAAGAGAAAAAAGAAAGGACCUCUUCUAUGAAAAUGGGGGGGAAAAAAAAGGAAGACCUUUAACUGCAUUUAUUUUUUCUGCUCUGACCAUUGGUCGGCCUCCGUUUAGAUGUCCAGGACACAGCCCAGAAGCCGCAGAGGUGUGCCGGGCCUGCUGCCUCGCCCACACUGACCGCCGCGCCCCCAGCACUGCACGCAGCACACCCUCUGGGCCGCCGCCCCCGGCAGCCCAAACACGCAACAGACCUCAAGGUCCUUCCUACAGACUCAACAUCCGGUUGCCGGCCUCGCCGCAGACCACAGCCCUAGAGCCCACUUUGCUCCGUCUGCGGCCAAAGUCCACACACGAUCCACCUUGUUGGUGCUCUAGCACCCUGCCCGGACACCCCUCCUAGUCCAGUCACCAGCUGAGCUACACUUGGGCUGCGGCGCUGCCCAGGACUUCAAACCUCAUCCCCUGAGUGGGACCCACACAAAGCCCGAGAAAAGCUGGCGUUCCCACCCGUAGCCCCAGGCUCCGGUUUCUGCCUCCCCCUUCACCUGUUCCCAAGAAGAACUUCCUUCAUCUCCAAGCGAGCACCGAGGCAAGGCCGAUGGCAGGGGCGAGGUCUCAGGGAGGCCACAGAGAUCAGUCAGGCUGUGCCGGAGCCCCCGCAGCCGGCGAGAUAUCUGAGAGACCAAGGCUCUCCUUGGCGAGCUCUUGCCUUUUCCGCCUUCUCCCGCAAGUCUCAAACACUCACACGCGGAGAGUUGAGCUCUAUAAAUCCUGCUCCUCUUUCUCAUAUCAUAAUUAAAAAAAACCAGUAGGGGAGGUUUUAACUUUUAUUGCGAUUUCUAGAGUUGGGCUGAGGAGCAUAUAUUAAGUUUACGCUUAUGUGCUCUCUGCGGGGAGGGUCCUUUAAGAAAUAAAAAUCCAUCUUAAUAUCCGCAGACGAGAGAGAUAAUUUUUCCCUCCUCUUCACGCUGUUCCUUCUGAAGACUCCCUUCCAGCGAAGCGAAUAAAUAAUUACCAUCGCCUUAGCCAUGAUCCACUGUCCCAGGGCCCUGAGGUGGACUCUGAUUACCAGACUGGCCCUCACCUUGGCCCUAUGAGACCUUGCUCCAUUUCUUGGGAUCCAGGGAGGAGGACCCAUUGACCCCUGGCUCUGUGAUCACCCCAUAUAAGCCCACUAGCUUUGAAAUGGAAAUGGGAGCAAAGGGACCCAAAUCACAGAAGUCGUUCAUUGGUGAAUUUCGGCCCAUCAGGGGACACUAUCUCCAAGUCAAGCGUUUUUGAGCACCCUGCUCCAGCCUGGGACUCCCCUUACCCCAAUCGGCUGUGUGCUUGGGUCAGACUAAAGACUCAAAGGCUUCCAGAGGGUCCCAAACCAGGGGAGUCCCUUGCUUGCCUCCCACCAGCUGGCCUGUCUCUCUGGAAACCUCCCCAUUUCCCUGCGAGCCAUAGAGAUUUGAGUACAUCCCUCCAAGGGAAGAAUUUUUUUCUCUCACAAAGGGAUAGAAGAUAGACUGACGAUUCAUUUGGGGGGAAGGAAA